This 257-nucleotide unclassified non-coding RNA is filed under the name Hevea brasiliensis (rubber tree). Lineage: Eukaryota; Viridiplantae; Streptophyta; Magnoliopsida; Malpighiales; Euphorbiaceae. The record is from RNAcentral.
GAAGGAAUUUUAACAUAUGGUGACGUGAAAAGGAGUUUGUUUAAGAACCAUGGGGAUUCUUCCAACAAAGAUUUAUCAGUCACAGAUGCAAAUACUUGUCUUGUGUCCUCUAUAUGCACAAAAGGGAUAAGCUAUCGUGGCCAAGAUUGUGGACUCCUAACUUGUUAUCCUGAUACGGAUCUAGCAAUUGCAAAGCAACUAAUGGAGGCAAAAGGAAUUAAACAAUUGCCUGUGGUCAAGCGUGGUGGAGAAUUCAG